Arachis stenosperma is the source of this 87-nucleotide small nucleolar RNA. RefSeq annotates it as small nucleolar RNA R38. The record is from RefSeq and is a predicted model, not a curated record. NCBI's taxonomy places the organism in Eukaryota, Viridiplantae, Streptophyta, Magnoliopsida, Fabales, Fabaceae. The transcript has a single exon.
GUGCUAUGAGUGAUGAGAUUACCAAUUUUACAGUUAUCCCUGGCUGAUAUAAUAUAGGGUGCUGAAAUUUUGUAAUCUGACAUGCAC